UACGUAGGGGGCAAGCGUUGUCCGGAAUCAUUGGGCGUAAAGCGCGUGUAGGCGGUUCGUCGCGUCGGCUGUGAAAACCCGGAGCUCAACUCCGGGCCUGCAGUCGAUACGGGCGGACUUGAGUGUUGCAGGGGAGACUGGAAUUCCCGGUGUAGCGGUGAAAUGCGCAGAUAUCGGGAGGAACACCGGUGGCGAAGGCGGUUCUCUGGGCCUUACCUGACGCUGAGGAGCGAAAGCGUGGGGAGCGAACAGG
This 253-nucleotide ribosomal RNA is filed under the name uncultured bacterium. RNAcentral describes it as "partial 16S ribosomal RNA". It matches the Rfam family "Bacterial small subunit ribosomal RNA", at positions 524 to 776 of the family's 1533-position model. The record is from RNAcentral.